GAGAGACAGAGGCGCCUGCGUGCAGAGGGGGAGAUGAGAGGAUGGAGCAGGCUGAUCCGAGAGAGGCAAUGAAUGAGCCGAUACCGUGCCAUGCCCAGAAUCACACGGGCACCUUCCUGCCAUGCCACUGCCACAAAA
Molecule: long non-coding RNA, 138 nt
Organism: Xenopus laevis (African clawed frog)
Lineage: Eukaryota; Metazoa; Chordata; Amphibia; Anura; Pipidae
Exons: 2
Source: RefSeq, a predicted model, not a curated record